UACGGAGGGUGCAAGCGUUAUCCGGAUUCACUGGGUUUAAAGGGUGCGUAGGUGGGCAGGUAAGUCAGUGGUGAAAUCUCCGGGCUUAACCCGGAAACUGCCGUUGAUACUAUCUGUCUUGAAUAUAGUGGAGGUGAGCGGAAUAUGUCAUGUAGCGGUGAAAUGCUUAGAUAUGACAUAGAACAUCGAUUGCGAAGGCAGCUCGCUACACUAUCAUUGACACUGAGGCACGAAAGCGUGGGGAUCAAACAGG
This 253-nucleotide ribosomal RNA is filed under the name uncultured bacterium. RNAcentral describes it as "partial 16S ribosomal RNA". It matches the Rfam family "Bacterial small subunit ribosomal RNA", at positions 524 to 776 of the family's 1533-position model. The record is from RNAcentral.